This 462-nucleotide ribosomal RNA is filed under the name uncultured bacterium. Its description in RNAcentral is "partial 16S ribosomal RNA". It matches the Rfam family "Bacterial small subunit ribosomal RNA", at positions 338 to 795 of the family's 1533-position model. The record is from RNAcentral.
CCUACGGGUGGCUGCAGUGAGGAAUAUUGGUCAAUGGGCGCAAGCCUGAACCAGCCAAGUCGCGUGAGGGAUGACGGUCCUAUGGAUUGUAAACCUCUUUUGUCGGGGAGCAAGGCCCGCCACGUGUGGCGGGAAGGAGAGUACCCGAAGAAAAAGCAUCGGCUAACUCCGUGCCAGCAGCCGCGGUAAUACGGAGGAUGCGAGCGUUAUCCGGAUUUAUUGGGUUUAAAGGGUGCGUAGGCGGAAGGUUAAGUCAGCGGUGAAAUGCCCCCGCUCAACGGGGUGAAGUGCCAUUGAUACUGCCUUGCUGGAAUGCGGAUGCCGUGGGAGGAAUGUGUGGUGUAGCGGUGAAAUGCAGAGAUAUCACACAGAACACCGAUUGCGAAGGCAUCUCACGAAUCCGCGAUUGACGCUGAUGCACGAAAGCGUGGGUAUCAAACAGGAUUAGAUACCCGUGUAGUC